Molecule: transfer RNA, 71 nt
Filed under: Bos taurus (domestic cattle)
Lineage: Eukaryota; Metazoa; Chordata; Mammalia; Artiodactyla; Bovidae
Also listed under: 4 other names
Rfam family: tRNA
About the family: Transfer RNA (tRNA) molecules are approximately 80 nucleotides in length. Their secondary structure includes four short double-helical elements and three loops (D, anti-codon, and T loops).
Source: Rfam by way of RNAcentral
UCCUAGGUGGCUCAAUGGUAAAGAAUCUGCUUUCCAAGCAGGAGACACAGUUUCGAUCCCUGUGUCAGGAA